RNAcentral lists this unclassified non-coding RNA (457 nucleotides) under uncultured Bordetella sp. RNAcentral's name for it is "partial 16S-23S ribosomal RNA intergenic spacer". It matches the Rfam family "Bacterial small subunit ribosomal RNA", at positions 340 to 794 of the family's 1533-position model. Lineage: Bacteria; Pseudomonadati; Pseudomonadota; Betaproteobacteria; Burkholderiales; Alcaligenaceae. The record is from RNAcentral.
UACGGGAGGCAGCAGUGGGGAAUUUUGGACAAUGGGGAAACCCCUGAUCCAGCCAUCCCGCGUGUGUGCGAUGAAGGCCUUCGGGUUGUAAAGCACCCUUGGCAGGGAAAGAAACGGCACGGCUACUACCCUCAGCAACUGACGGUACCUGCAGAAUAAGCACCGGCUAACUACGUGCCAGCAGCCGCGGUAAUACGUAGGGUGUUAAUCGGAAUUACUGGGCGUAAAGCGUGCGCAGGCGGUUCGGAAAGAAAGAUGUGAAAUCCCAGAGCUUAACUUGGAACUGCAUUUUUAACUACCGAGCUAGGAGUGUGUCAGAGGGAGGUGGAAUUCCGCGUGUAGCAGUGAAAUGCGUGGAUAUGCGGAGGAACACCGAUGGCGAAGGCAGCCUCCUGGGAUAACACUGACGCUCAUGCACGAAAGCGUGGGGAGCAACAGGAUUAGAUAAUUUCGUAGU